RNAcentral lists this ribosomal RNA (430 nucleotides) under uncultured bacterium. RNAcentral's name for it is "bacterial SSU rRNA". It matches the Rfam family "Bacterial small subunit ribosomal RNA", at positions 917 to 1344 of the family's 1533-position model. The record is from RNAcentral.
GGACCCGCACAAGUAGUGGAGCAUGUGGUUUAAUUCGAAGAUACGCGCAGAACCUUACCAACACUUGACAUGUUCGUCGCGACUCUAAGAGAUUAGAGUUUUCGGUUCGGCCGGACGAAACACAGGUGCUGCAUGGCUGUCGUCAGCUCGUGUCGUGAGAUGUUGGGUUAAGUCCCGCAACGAGCGCAACCCUCACUUUUAGUUGCCAUCAUUAAGUUGGGCACUCUGAAAGAACUGCCAGUGAUAAGCUGGAGGAAGGUGGGGAUGACGUCAAGUCCUCAUGGCCCUUACGUGUUGGGCUACACACGUGCUACAAUGGUAUCUACAACAGGAAGCAAGACUGCGAGGUGGAGCAAAUCUCUUAAAGCUUGUCUCAGUUCGGAUAGGAGUCUGCAACUCGACUCCUUGAAGUUGGAGUCGCUAGUAAUCG